CCUACGUGCGGCAGCAGUGGGGAAUAUUGGACAAUGGGCGAAAGCCUGAUCUAGCCAUGCCGCGUGUGUGAAGAAGGCCUUCGGGUUGUAAAGCACUUUCAGUGGGGAAGAAAGCCUUGGGGCUAAUACCCUCGAGGAAGGACAUCACCCACAGAAGAAGCACCGGCUAACUCCGUGCCAGCAGCCGCGGUAAUACGGAGGGUGCGAGCGUUAAUCGGAAUUACUGGGCGUAAAGCGCGCGUAGGCGGUCUGAUAAGCCGGUUGUGAAAGCCCCGGGCUCAACCUGGGAACGGCAUCCGGAACUGUCAGGCUAGAGUGCAGGAGAGGAAGGUAGAAUUCCCGGUGUAGCGGUGAAAUGCGUAGAGAUCGGGAGGAAUACCAGUGGCGAAGGCGGCCUUCUGGACUGACACUGACGCUGAGGUGCGAAAGCGUGGGUAGCAAACAGGAUUAGAUACCCUUGUAGUC
RNAcentral lists this ribosomal RNA (465 nucleotides) under Vreelandella stevensii. Its description in RNAcentral is "partial 16S ribosomal RNA". It matches the Rfam family "Bacterial small subunit ribosomal RNA", at positions 338 to 795 of the family's 1533-position model. Lineage: Bacteria; Pseudomonadati; Pseudomonadota; Gammaproteobacteria; Oceanospirillales; Halomonadaceae. The record is from RNAcentral.